GAUGAAGAACGCAGCGAAAUGCGAUACGUAGUGUGAAUUGCAGAAUUCAGUGAAUCAUCGAAUCUUUGAACGCAUAUUGCACUCUCUGGUAUUCCGGAGAGUAUGCCUGUUUCAGUAUCAAUGAAAGGAAUAUCAAGCCUAUUUUUUUUUGAAAAAAAAAAAGGGUUUUGGAUCUGGGCAUUUUCAGCAUUUAUUUUGUGCAUGCCUGAAAUUCAAUGGAUAGAAUCUUUGAAAAGGGUCAAAAAAAAGGUGUUUAGUUGGAUUGGUAAAUCCUUUUUUUCACUGAAUUUUUUUGGGCUUUUUUCAAAAAAAAAAAUUUUUCAAACUUGAUCUGAAAUCAGGUAGGAUUACCCGCUGAACUUAAGCAUAUCAAUAAGCGGAGGA
Molecule: unclassified non-coding RNA, 384 nt
Filed under: soil metagenome
Description: partial contains 5.8S ribosomal RNA, internal transcribed spacer 2, and large subunit ribosomal RNA
Rfam family: 5.8S ribosomal RNA (bases 1-120)
Source: RNAcentral